UACGUAGGGGGCAAGCGUUAUCCGGAUCUACUGGGUGUAAAGGGAGCGUAGACGGCUGUGCAAGCCAGAUGUGAAAGCCCGGGGCUCAACCCCGGGACUGCAUUUGGAACUGUGUAGCUGGAGUGUCGGAGAGGCAGGCGGAAUUCCUAGUGUAGCGGUGAAAUGCGUAGAUAUUAGGAGGAACACCAGUGGCGAAGGCGGCCUGCUGGACGAUGACUGACGUUGAGGCUCGAAAGCGUGGGGAGCAAACAGG
RNAcentral lists this ribosomal RNA (253 nucleotides) under uncultured bacterium. RNAcentral describes it as "partial 16S ribosomal RNA". It matches the Rfam family "Bacterial small subunit ribosomal RNA", at positions 524 to 776 of the family's 1533-position model. The record is from RNAcentral.